This 69-nucleotide transfer RNA is filed under the name Urocitellus parryii (Arctic ground squirrel). Its description in RNAcentral is "Spermophilus parryii (Arctic ground squirrel) tRNA". It matches the Rfam family "tRNA". Rfam says of the family: Transfer RNA (tRNA) molecules are approximately 80 nucleotides in length. Their secondary structure includes four short double-helical elements and three loops (D, anti-codon, and T loops). Lineage: Eukaryota; Metazoa; Chordata; Mammalia; Rodentia; Sciuridae. The record is from Rfam by way of RNAcentral. RNAcentral also lists the same sequence under 1 other name.
GGGGUUGUGGCUCAGAGUUAGAGCACUCACCUUGCAUGUGCGAGACCCUGGGUUCGAUCCUCAGCACCA